RNAcentral lists this ribosomal RNA (470 nucleotides) under uncultured bacterium. RNAcentral's name for it is "bacterial SSU rRNA". It matches the Rfam family "Bacterial small subunit ribosomal RNA", at positions 1060 to 1529 of the family's 1533-position model. The record is from RNAcentral.
UCGUGUCGUGAGAUGUUGGGUUAAGUCCCGCAACGAGCGCAACCCUUAUCUUUAGUAGCCAGCAGGUGAAGCUGGGCACUCUAGAGAGACUGCCGGGGAUAACCCGGAGGAAGGUGGGGAUGACGUCAAAUCAUCAUGCCCCUUAUGAUUUGGGCUACACACGUGCUACAAUGGCGUAAACAGAGGGAAGCGAGCCCGCGAGGGGGAGCAAAUCCCAAAAAUAACGUCCCAGUUCGGAUUGUAGUCUGCAACCCGACUACAUGAAGCUGGAAUCGCUAGUAAUCGCGGAUCAGAAUGCCGCGGUGAAUACGUUCCCGGGUCUCGUACACACCGCCCGUCACACCAUGGGAGUCGGAAAUGCCCGAAGUCUGUGACCCAACCGUGAGGAGGGAGCAGCCGAAGGCAGGUCGGAUGACUGGGGUGAAGUCGUAACAAGGUAGCCGUAUCGGAAGGUGCGGUUGGAUCACCUC